UAGCGGGGAUGGCUCCCGGGAAGCGGGCCGGCCUCCUGGGCGUCUGGCUCCGGACAGCCGCCUGGCGUCUGGGCCCUGGGUUUUCCGUUCUCUCCCUCGGGUCCCGGAGGGCAGUACCGGUCGCCUGGAGUACCGGGCCGCGACCGUCUGAGCUAGGAGCUGACUCAGCGGCAGUGCCGGAUACAGCCUGACGCCGGGCAAGGUUUGGCCAAACCAUAUGGGAGGCCUAGAACUUUCCUCAGCUCACAGAGGCAGUAGUGGCCCUGCCAGGGCUUGACCCAAGCUGUCUGAUUCUACAGAUCAGCCCACCCACCAGACCCUGGUGACUCCCCAUCACUUACACACCAGUGCACCCUUCUCUCCACAGUGCACCAAGCCAGUGUGACCUCCGACCAGUGCCAUCGGACCCACAGGCACGGAAACAUGCACAAACACCCCGAGCUGUUGGGCCUCCGGCUUGCUCUAGGAAAA
Molecule: long non-coding RNA, 471 nt
Organism: Lutra lutra (Eurasian river otter)
Lineage: Eukaryota; Metazoa; Chordata; Mammalia; Carnivora; Mustelidae
Exons: 3
Source: RefSeq, a predicted model, not a curated record